Molecule: ribosomal RNA, 253 nt
Filed under: uncultured bacterium
Lineage: Bacteria
Description: partial 16S ribosomal RNA
Rfam family: Bacterial small subunit ribosomal RNA
Source: RNAcentral
UACAGAGGGUGCGAGCGUUAACCGGAAUCAUUGGGCGUAAAGCGUCUGUAGGCGGUGAGAAAAGUCGGGGGUAAAAGGCGUCGGCUCAACCGACGUUGUGUUUCCGAAACUUUCUCGCUUGAAGAGGGCAGAGGCAAGUGGAAUUCCGUGUGUAGGGGUAAAAUCCGUAGAUACAUGGAGGAACACCAAAAGCGAAGGCAGCUUGCUGGGCCUUUCUUGACGCUGAGAGACGAAAGCGUGGGGAGCAAACAGG